Arabidopsis lyrata subsp. lyrata is the source of this 1274-nucleotide long non-coding RNA. RefSeq lists it as uncharacterized. The record is from RefSeq and is a predicted model, not a curated record. The transcript is spliced from 2 exons. NCBI's taxonomy places the organism in Eukaryota, Viridiplantae, Streptophyta, Magnoliopsida, Brassicales, Brassicaceae.
CCAAGAGGAUGCCACGUUAGAUCAAAACUCAAAUUCGCCUUUCUUCUCAGACUUCUCCUCUUCCAAAUUCUAAAUCCAUAUCAGUUAUGCUGACGUGAGUCACGUCUUCCUUCCUCUUUAAAUCCCUCAUCAGAAAACAAGGUUUCACGUUCUAAACACUCGAUUGAGCUCCACCAUAUCGGCUAUCAACAGCCACCUUUCCAUCACAGUUAUGUUAAGGCUUAUAAGAGGGUUGUCAUCGGGAUCGAUCUUUGGGUUUUAAAGCAAGGAGAAGAAGAGGGAUAGAAGAGAUUGGGGGAGAAGAAAAGUGUAAAUUUUUAGAGUUUAUAACUUUUUAGUGUGUCGCUUUCACGGACUUCUGAAGCGACAGCAUUCAUGGUGGCUUCGUUAGCCUUUGAAUCCCGUUAAUGAAAACACCCACUUUUUAAACUUAUGUCGUCAAUCUUAAGCCCACAUCUAAACAUCGUAACAGAUGUGGGACUAACUUUUCCAAUGUUAUUGUGACGUUUGAUAAUCCAAAUUUUCUAGAGACUAUGAUCAUGCAAUCUCGGGAUAUGCAUAGCGUUGAGGUUGGCGCAUCACCAACUCCCUUACUUCUUCAUGUAAGGUACAUGUUUGUCUUCUCUUCUCAUGUCUUUUACGUUAAAACCAGAAGACAUAAAAUAUCUGGUUCAUGCAUGGUUGAGGAUUCCACUUUACGCUCACAAGAGUUAAUUAGGUACAAAAGCUAACACAUGGGCUUCUUACUGUUUUCAUAUAUAUUAGUAACUAAACUACUAAGCAAAUUAAAUUCCCCACAUUUGAACAAAAUAGCAGUUGAAAAAAGCUUUUGGGAAUAGCCAAAGGUCCAUUCCCUAAAAAAAAAAUGCUACGCCAACAUUGUCCUCAUAUAAACUCUAUUUCAUUCAGUAUUUCUAUGUCCAUUUUAACUUUGCUGAAACAAUUUCAUUCAGUACGUAUUGUUAGAUCCACUUAAAUUUUUAUUCGAAUGAAUCUUAUCUUUUCUAAUGAUGGCUUAUGAUCUGGAUUUCCAAGCAGCAGAGUCUACUGUGCUAAGUCAUGUCAUGACUAAUAUGAAGCAUAACUCCAGACAUCUUGCUAUAACUAUUUCAGUCCGUUUCUUUAAUCAAGAUUGACUACAUUACGUAGUGACCAACUUUCAUCACUCUAUUUCCCAUAUUGUUUUUGGUUUGUAAUUAAGUUUGAAGCUCACAAGUUUACAACCUCUAUUUUUUGGGGUGUAUGUGCUAUUCAGAUUGAAAACUGUUGGGAAA